GUGCUCACUUGGCCAGCACAUAUCCUAAAAUUGAAACAAAACAAAGGAGAUUUAGCGUGACCCCUACACAAAGAUAACACUCAAAUUCGUGAAAAGUUCCAUUUUUUU
This is a small nuclear RNA of Nycticebus coucang (slow loris), 108 nucleotides long. NCBI's taxonomy places the organism in Eukaryota, Metazoa, Chordata, Mammalia, Primates, Lorisidae. The record is from RefSeq and is a predicted model, not a curated record.